Molecule: non-coding RNA, 23 nt
Filed under: Arabidopsis thaliana (thale cress)
Lineage: Eukaryota; Viridiplantae; Streptophyta; Magnoliopsida; Brassicales; Brassicaceae
Source: RNAcentral
UACUCGACCUCAACACUCCUCUC